CCUACGGGAGGCAGCAGUNGGGAAUUUUGCGCAAUGGGNGAAACCCUGACGCAGCAACGCCGCGUGGAGGAUGAAGCCCUUUGGGGGGUAAACUCCUUUCGACCAAGACGAUAAUGACGGUACUGUUGGAAGAAGCACCGGCUAACUCUGUGCCAGCAGCCGCGGUAAU
This 169-nucleotide ribosomal RNA is filed under the name uncultured bacterium. Its description in RNAcentral is "partial 16S rRNA". It matches the Rfam family "Bacterial small subunit ribosomal RNA", at positions 338 to 524 of the family's 1533-position model. The record is from RNAcentral.